GUGUAGGAUCUCUAUGUAACU
Molecule: microRNA, 21 nt
Filed under: Panagrellus redivivus
Lineage: Eukaryota; Metazoa; Nematoda; Chromadorea; Rhabditida; Panagrolaimidae
Description: prd-miR-7936-3p
Source: miRBase by way of RNAcentral